GACAGAGGGGGCAAGCGUUGCUCGGAAUUACUGGGCGUAAAGGGCGCGUAGGCGGGAUGGCAAGUCGGUCGUGAAAUCCUUCGGCUCAACCGAAGAACGUCGGCCGAUACUGCCGUUCUUGAGGGAUGCAGAGGAGAUUGGAAUUCCCGGUGUAGCGGUGAAAUGUGUAGAGAUCGGGAAGAACACCGGUGGCGAAGGCGGCCUGCUGGGCAGUAGCUGACACUGAGGCGCGACAGCGUGGGGAGCAAACAGG
This 253-nucleotide ribosomal RNA is filed under the name uncultured bacterium. RNAcentral's name for it is "partial 16S ribosomal RNA". It matches the Rfam family "Bacterial small subunit ribosomal RNA", at positions 524 to 776 of the family's 1533-position model. The record is from RNAcentral.